This 436-nucleotide ribosomal RNA is filed under the name uncultured bacterium. RNAcentral's name for it is "partial 16S ribosomal RNA". It matches the Rfam family "Bacterial small subunit ribosomal RNA", at positions 29 to 507 of the family's 1533-position model. The record is from RNAcentral.
GCGCACGCUGGCGGCAGGCUUAACACAUGCAAGUCGAGCGGGCAUCCUUGUGGUGUCAGCGGCAGACGGGUGAGUAACGCGUGGGAACGUGCCCUUCGGUUCGGAAUAACUCAGGGAAACUUGAGCUAAUACCGGAUACGUGCGAGAGCAGAAAGGUUUAUCUGCCGAAGGAUCGGCCCGCGUCUGAUUAGCUAGUUGGUGAGGUUAUGGCUCACCAAGGCGACGAUCAGUAGCUGGUCUGAGAGGAUGAUCAGCCACACUGGGACUGAGACACGGCCCAGACUCCUACGGGAGGCAGCAGUGGGGAAUAUUGGACAAUGGGGGCAACCCUGAUCCAGCCAUGCCGCGUGAGUGAUGACGGCCUUAGGGUUGUAAAGCUCUUUUCUCCGGGACGAUAAUGACGGUACCGGAGGAAUAAGCCCCGGCUAACUUCGUG